Molecule: long non-coding RNA, 2378 nt
Filed under: Apteryx rowi (Okarito brown kiwi)
Lineage: Eukaryota; Metazoa; Chordata; Aves; Apterygiformes; Apterygidae
Description: lncRNA (ENSARWG00000016657.1)
Source: RNAcentral
GUCUAAGUCUAGAUGUUCAAAAAGAAACACACAACAAUUUUUCAAAGAUUUAAAAUUUUAUUGAUGUACUAUGGCGCUAGGUUUUAGGGUUUACAAGGGCCUGAAUGACCGUCUUAUUUCAGACUCUGAAGUUGAAGAAGCUCUUAGACCUAGACUCAUCCUGUCUAACUUCAGACCUCUCAGUGAAAGGCCUAAAUUAGAUUUUUGGUCUUGCUGAACUCCUAAAGUCAGUUAUUCAUUUAAAUCCCUGAAGUUAGGGGAGAUGGAUCUGUGACUUAAUGUCUUUGGAAUGCAUUCAUAAAUAAACAUCACUUUCCUGUUUGAGCCCAUUGUGAGAGCUUCUUAAGUGUAAACAGCAGCCAGCAUGAUAAUAUCCAAUAAAUAACACUGAGCUGCUAUAAAAAUGGUAGUGUCUGGCAGGUGUAAAGAYGUAUAUGAAAAUGAGACUAAAACAUUGUGAAGUUUUGUUUUGUUUCGUUUUUUUUCCCAGGUGGAACAAAUACAAAUAAUUCCACUAAGGGGAUAUUGAGUUACUCUGAUUUUUACCAAUGCGGGAUCUGGAUCAUUGUCUUCAGUGGUGAAAUGAUGGAAAAUGCAACUAAUCUGACUGUUCAGAAUAAUUACUCGAAAAGAAAAAUGAAUUGGCUGAUAAUUACUGCAAAACUUAUGGCUGUUUGGUACACGUACAUCCUGUACCCCUUUAGCUUCCAAGCCUUACCCAGCAAAAUUUGCGAAUAUUUUUCAAAUGUCAAUCUGGAAUGAAACCAGCCUUUUUCCCUUUGUCUUUUACAAGCCUGCUGGUGCGGGUUAAGCGAAACCACUGAGGUUUCGCAGCAUUUUCUGUGCCAUGGUGUCUUCCGAGCAGCGUCCCAAAACGGACUGCGUCAGUGUUGCAGUUGAAGGGGAGCCGUGGUUUCCCUGUUUCAUUCCCACGGAGRGGGAAGCUCGCUUGCUUCGUGCAGCCCCGAGCUGCCGGCAGCGCCCGUGGCUUUGAGACAGGGCUCGGGGCAGUUUAACCCRUCCUGUAGCAGCUGCCGGUGCUGCCUGGGGGUGCUGAGCCCCCAAAUACUGAGGUUUUCGAGACCRCGAGGGGAGGGAAGGCCCCGUCUUUCAGGAUAUCGGUGGCUGCUGCAGGAGACGAAGGAGGCUCGGGCUGAGCUGCAAGCCGCUCGGCACGCUGCUGGGUUGCCCCCGAGGACGACACGUGGUCGCCGUGCCAGAACCUCUCCGCGUCCGCAUUUGUUUCCCCGCGCUGUGCAAAAGGAGACGGGGAUGCCRGUCCUGGGGAUGUCUCUGCGUGCCGCCGUCGUAAGGAUCCUCGCCGGCGCGCAAGGAGCUCUGCCUCCAUCGCACCAGCCGAGCCCUCGCCAAGCAAAACCCAGCGUGUGAAGGAGAUCUCCCCGGUUCAGCAGCACGGAGCAAGCCAGAGCCGGCAGCUUCAGCAGCGUGGCGCUGGCGUUUCUGUCUCGAACCUUGCAAGUUUGUUCAUAUCCCGUCCUGCCUUGGGGCACUACGUCAUCAGCCCCUUUCCAUGCCAAAUAUCAACCGUGCAUUCCCCCUUUGUGCUUUCUACUUUGCUUCUGAUGCAAUGGGCUAUUUACCCUAUUACGAGAAAUGCUUAGGCGGGUAUUGUAUCUGAGGUUAAACUCGCACUGUUAAGUUAGAGAGUCUCUGUAUGCUACGUUUAAUUUUUAUGCUGACGCCUGCAGCCUUCUCUGAAGGGGAAUUUGAGUAAAAGAGCUGGUCAGCCUAUUUUCUUCAGAAGCAGAAAUCCCCAUCUCUGAGAUUUAAACACUGACAUCCCGGUGUCUGAAUCCUGUGGGGUUAAGAAGGGAGCAUUAGAAAUCAGCUCUAAUAWGAGCUUUCAGUCCUCCCUCGGAGCCAACUGACCCUGAACUGCUUUGGGUUUUAAAAUGAUAAAGAUGAACAUAAAUCUUUUGCUUCCUGAUGUAAUUUUGACUCAAAGCAGAAAUCCCAGAGAGUACAUCUUGUCUUGUUUCAGACCUAAAUGAAGCAYAGGAGCCAUUAGAAACUGCAUGGAAAAUUGAAGCUGCGGUUGUGCGCCCAGUUCUCAAGCYGCAGUUGGGGGAAGCGUCAGGACAGACGCAGAGGCCUUUCCUCUUGCCCUCCCCUCCCAGAGCUGUAUUAAGCCAAGAGGCACCGGGGGGUAGAUCUGUUCAGAAGACGGGUUUCUGCUGCUGCUCAAACGGCAGCCUGGAAACCUGGUGCCUGGGUUUCUAUCAGACUCUGACAUAUCUCACUGCAGGACCUUUGGGAAGUUGCUUUUUUCCAUGGRAAGGGGUUCUCAGCCUACUACUUUGGCGCAUUAAAAUACUUGUUAAAAUAAAAUAAUGACAUCCUGAAUUGAAAGGGCUGYG